This is a long non-coding RNA of Oncorhynchus keta (chum salmon), 2556 nucleotides long. RefSeq lists it as uncharacterized. The record is from RefSeq and is a predicted model, not a curated record. The transcript has 3 exons. Lineage: Eukaryota; Metazoa; Chordata; Actinopteri; Salmoniformes; Salmonidae.
UUACGCUCCUGAAAGGCACCAAGAUCCCCAACACAUAUCCCCCAUGCUGCACCACCCUAUUCUACCAAUCACAGCAAAACAAGCAACAAAAAUGGCCGACAUCAUAGGACACGGAAGCAGAAGAAAAAGUCAAACUACCAACACCACCAUGACAGAAUGCUGGCAAAAUGAGGCUGAAAAACAGGGAGAGGCGGAGAGGUUGCUGUUGACUCUGACUCCCUCUCCUCCGUAUCUCCUCUCCCCUUCUCCCCUCCCUCGCUUCAUCCUCAGCUGCCUUCCCCAUUCUCCUGUACCGCGAGACGCAACCCACGCCACCAUCUUAGGACGACGCUCGCUGGCAUGAAAUGGAAGUGAGGACCAGAGAGAGCAGGCAAAUAAUGGUCCAGAACACUGGGAGAGGGCAGAAAUGACAGCGAGCAGUAAUCCAUUGGGAGAAGAGAAGUUGCCCACAAACUACCAACCCAUCCCUAGUAUUUGCAAUGGAACAGGCCCAUUACAACAAUGUUUGUCCACUACACUUCGACUUGUGCCACAACAUUUGAACAUCAGAGCACUUUAGCUGCCUCUGACAUGUGGCUGGACCUCUGGCCUGGGUUUUGUUAUCCAACAAGGGCCAAUCAGGAUUGGUUCUCUUUCCUUUCAUUAAGCCAAUAAGAAAGUGGGGUGGUGGCAUGGAAAACAAGAGCAAAUAUCUCAAGAUCCAAGAUGAACAGAGAAGCACUGAUUCUUGGAUACACUGUGCUAUGAAUUAGAAACAUGACAUGUGCUGUGUACCUACAGUAUUUGCUUGCAGCUUCAAUAACAUCUACACUGAGUAUCCAAAACAUUAAGAACAUCUGCUCUUUCCAUGACAUAGACUGACCAGGCGAAUCCAGGUGAAAGCUAUGAUCCCUUAAUGAUGUCACUUGUUAAAUCCACUUCAAUCAGUGUAGAUGAAGGGGAGGAGACAGGAUAAAGAAGGAUUUUUAAGCCUUAAGACAAUUGAGACAUGGAUUGUGUGUGUGCCAUUCAGAGGGUGGAUGGGCAAGACACAAAAAUGUAAGUGCCUUUGAACGGGGUAUGGUAGUAGGUGCCAGGCACACUGGUUUGUGUCAAGAACUGCAACACUGCUGGGUUUUUCACGCUCAACAGUUCCCCGUGUGUAUCAAGAAUGGUCCACCAGCCAAAGGACAUCCAGCCAACUUGACACAACGGUGGGAAGUAUUGGAGUCAACAUAGGCCUGCAUCCCUGUUGAACGCUCUUCAACACCUUGUAGAGUCCAUGCCCCGACGAAUUGAUGCUGCAACUCAAUAGUAGGAAGGUGUCCUUAAAUGUUUUGUACACUCAGUGUGUGUUACAUGUGAGGAAAUGUUCCUUGCAAUACAGAUUCUUAGGUGCAAACAUUUCUAUAAUAGCAUGGAGCACUUUACUACUACUACUACUACUACUACUAUUACUACUACUACUACUACUACUACUACUACUACUACUACUUUAAUUUAAAGUAAAUAACAAUGUAUGAAUAGAGUUCAUGGUGUUUCAUGGGAAUGUUGUAUAACAAGCUAUAAUAAAUAACAUAGACCUACUUAGAUCAUAUGGGUUAGAAUUUUUGCCCAUUUUUGUUUUUAUAUUUUAUUGUUUACUAGUUGCUAUGACUGACAGACACAUGAAUGUGAGACCCACGGCAGCAGUGAAGAAUACUGCACUGCGAUUGGACGGCUCCGUGUGUCAUAUGACACACAGGCGAAUGGGAGAGCUGUUGUCUUUAUACUCUAUGCAACUGUUUUUGGCCUGCUACCAAAUAUAUUGGGCAAGCCUUCAACUGAAUUAUUUUUGGGCGAACAAUCUCAUGAAAUAUUACACUGUUUGUUCAGUUUUCUCUUACCAUGUAGGUUGUUGUUGUUGUGUGUGUGUGUGUGUGUGUGUGUGUGUGUGUGUGUGUGUGUGUGUGUGUGUGUGUGUGUGUGUGUGUGUGUGUGUGUGUGUGUGUGUGUGUGUGUGCGUGCGUGCGUGCGUGUGUGCGUGCAUGCGUGCGUGCGUGCGUGAAAGAGGGAAAGAGUGAAUGUUAGAGAGAAAGUUAGACAUUACAGAUGAACAUAACACAUUUGCUUUAUAAAACAAAUUGUGGAAAGACAUUUUAGUUUGAAUUUUUCAAUAACAGAGUUGAAUAUGCUGGCCCUAAGCCUCUGCCAACGCAAAUCAGUGUAGGAAUUACACAUCUAAUAUUCUUGAUGGCAGAGCUCUGUUUGAUCAGCAGUGCGGUUUAUAGGGAGUAAGCUAGGCUGCACGGACAGAACAUUCUAAACCACUUAAGCUUUCCAAGUAGGCUUUGAAUGCAGUAGCCUGGCUUUCCCUAGCAAACCACGUCAACGUAAUACAAGGUACUUUAGAGUAAGACAUGAUAAAUACAGAGAAUUCAAAUACUUCCUUAAUUUCCUGUCCUUCACAUUAUCGCACAGACACACACACACACACACACACACACACACACACACACACACACACACACACACACACACACACACACACACACACACACACACACACACACACACACACACACACACACACACACA